This 225-nucleotide ribosomal RNA is filed under the name uncultured Brevibacterium sp. RNAcentral's name for it is "partial 16S ribosomal RNA". It matches the Rfam family "Bacterial small subunit ribosomal RNA", at positions 568 to 792 of the family's 1533-position model. The record is from RNAcentral. Lineage: Bacteria; Bacillati; Actinomycetota; Actinomycetes; Micrococcales; Brevibacteriaceae.
CUCGUAGGUGGUUGGUCACGUCUGCUGUGGAAACGCAACGCUUAACGUUGCGCGUGCAGUGGGUACGGGCUGACUAGAGUGCAGUAGGGGAGUCUGGAAUUCCUGGUGUAGCGGUGAAAUGCGCAGAUAUCAGGAGGAACACCGGUGGCGAAGGCGGGACUCUGGGCUGUAACUGACGCUGAGGUACGAAAGAAUGGGGAGCAAACAGGAUUAGAUACCCGAGUA